AGAACGAACGCUGGCGGCAGGCCUCAAACAUGCAAGUCUAGGGGGUGUAGCAAUACAUCACCGGCGGACGGGUGCGUAACACGUGGGAAUGUACCUAUUGGUUCGGAACAACGCAGGGAAACUUGCGCUAAUACCGAAUGUGCCCGAAAGGGGAAAGAUUUAUCGCCAAUAGAUCAGCCCGCGUAGGAUUAGCUAGUUGGUGAGGUAAUGGCUCACCAAGGCUCCGAUCCUUAGCUGUUCUGAGAGGAAGAUCAGCCACACUGGGACUGAGACACGGCCCAGACUCCUACGGGAGGCAGCAGUUGGGAAUCUUGGACAAUGGGCGAAAGCCUGAUCCAGCCAUGCCGCGUGAGUGAUGAAGGCCUUCGGGUUGUAAACUCUUUCGACGGGGACGAUAAUGACGGUACCGUAGAAGAGCUCCGGCUAACUUCACGCCAGCAGCCGC
RNAcentral lists this ribosomal RNA (445 nucleotides) under uncultured bacterium. RNAcentral's name for it is "SSU rRNA". It matches the Rfam family "Bacterial small subunit ribosomal RNA", at positions 26 to 518 of the family's 1533-position model. The record is from RNAcentral.